GGCCCCUUCGUCUAGUGGUCCAGGACGUCGCCCUCUCACGGCGAAAACACGGGUUCGAGUCCCGUAGGGGUCACCA
This 76-nucleotide transfer RNA is filed under the name Sphingomonas sp. RNAcentral's name for it is "tRNA-Glu". It matches the Rfam family "tRNA". Rfam says of the family: Transfer RNA (tRNA) molecules are approximately 80 nucleotides in length. Their secondary structure includes four short double-helical elements and three loops (D, anti-codon, and T loops). Lineage: Bacteria; Pseudomonadati; Pseudomonadota; Alphaproteobacteria; Sphingomonadales; Sphingomonadaceae. RNAcentral also lists the same sequence under 4 other names. The record is from RNAcentral.